CGGAGGGUGCAAGCGUUAUCCGGAUUCACUGGGUUUAAAGGGUGUGUAGGCGGGUACUUAAGUCAGUGGUGAAAUCUCCAGGCUCAACCUGGAAACUGCCAUUGAUACUAUUUAUCUUGAAUCUUGUUGAGGUAGGCGGAAUAUGUCAUGUAGCGGUGAAAUGCUUAGAUAUGACAUAGAACACCGAUUGCGAAGGCAGCUUACUAAGCAAGGAUUGACGCUGAGGCACGAAAGCGUGGGGAUCAAACAGGAUUAGAUACCCUGGUAGUCCACGCCCUAAACGAUGAUUACUCGACAUACGCGAUACACAGUGUGUGUCUGAGCGAAAGCAUUAAGUAAUCCACCUGGGAAGUACGUCCGCAAGGAUG
This 368-nucleotide ribosomal RNA is filed under the name uncultured organism. Its description in RNAcentral is "bacterial SSU rRNA". It matches the Rfam family "Bacterial small subunit ribosomal RNA", at positions 526 to 896 of the family's 1533-position model. The record is from RNAcentral.